This 421-nucleotide ribosomal RNA is filed under the name uncultured bacterium. Its description in RNAcentral is "bacterial SSU rRNA". It matches the Rfam family "Bacterial small subunit ribosomal RNA", at positions 508 to 927 of the family's 1533-position model. The record is from RNAcentral.
UCAGCAGCCGCGGUAAUACGUAGGGGGCGAGCGUUGUCCGAAUUUACUGGGCGUAAAGCGCGCGUAGGCGGACUUUUAAGUCGGUGGUGAAAUCUCAGGGCUCAACCCUGAAACUGCCGCCGAAACUGGGAGUCUUGAGGUAUGGAGAGGGAAGUGGAAUUCCUGGUGUAGCGGUGAAAUGCGUAGAUAUCAGGAGGAACACCCGUGGCGAAGGCGGCUUCCUGGCCAUAUCCUGACGCUGAGGUGCGAAAGCUAGGGGAGCGAACGGGAUUAGAUACCCCGGUAGUCCUAGCCGUAAACGAUGGAUACUAGGUGUUAGAGGUAUCGACCCCUCUAGUGCCGCAGCUAACGCAAUAAGUAUCCCGCCUGGGGAGUACGGCCGCAAGGUUGAAACUCAAAGGAAUUGACGGGGGCCCGCACA